UACGGAGGGUGCAAGCGUUGUUCGGAAUUAUUGGGCGUAAAGCGCACGUUGGCGGCCGUUUAAGUCUCACUGUGAAAGCCCGCGGCUCAACCGCGGGAGGCCAGGGGAUACUGGACGGCUGGAGACAGGUAGAGGCGAGCGGAAUUCCGGGUGUAGCGGUGGAAUGCGUAGAGAUCCGGAAGAACACCAGAGGCGAAGGCGGCUCGCUGGACCUGUUCUGACGCUGAGGUGCGAAAGCGCGGGGAGCGAACAGG
This 254-nucleotide unclassified non-coding RNA is filed under the name uncultured Gemmatimonadota bacterium. RNAcentral describes it as "uncultured Gemmatimonadetes bacterium contains 16S-23S intergenic spacer region". It matches the Rfam family "Bacterial small subunit ribosomal RNA", at positions 524 to 776 of the family's 1533-position model. Lineage: Bacteria; Pseudomonadati; Gemmatimonadota. The record is from RNAcentral.